AGCGAACGCUGGCGGCAGGCUUAACACAUGCAAGUCGAGCGGGCACUUUCGGGUGUCAGCGGCGGACGGGUGAGUAACGCGUGGGAACGUGCCCUCUGGUUCGGAAUAACUCAGGGAAACUUGAGCUAAUACCGGAUACGCCCUUUUGGGGAAAGGCUUGCUGCGGGAGGAUCGGCACGCGUCGGAUUAGCUAGUUGGUUAGGUAACGGCUCAGCAAGGCGACGAUCAGUAGCUGGUCUGAGAGGAUGAGCAGCCACACUGGGACUGAGACACGGCCCAGACUCCUACGGGAGGCAGCCGUGGGGAAUAUUGGACGAUGGGAGGAAGCCUGAUCCAGCCAUGCCGCGUGAGUGAUGAAGGCCUUAGGGUUGUAAAGCUCUUUUAUCCGGGACGAUCAUGACGGUACCGGAGGAAUAAGCCCCGGCUAACUUCGUG
RNAcentral lists this ribosomal RNA (435 nucleotides) under uncultured bacterium. RNAcentral describes it as "partial 16S ribosomal RNA". It matches the Rfam family "Bacterial small subunit ribosomal RNA", at positions 29 to 507 of the family's 1533-position model. The record is from RNAcentral.